This is a non-coding RNA of Candidatus Wolfebacteria bacterium, 72 nucleotides long. Lineage: Bacteria; Candidatus Wolfeibacteriota. The record is from Rfam.
GUCCCCGUAGUUCAAUGGAUAGAAUAGGAGACUCCUAAGCUCUUGAUGGAGGUUCGAUUCCUCCCGGGGACA